RNAcentral lists this ribosomal RNA (586 nucleotides) under uncultured bacterium. Its description in RNAcentral is "partial 16S ribosomal RNA". It matches the Rfam family "Bacterial small subunit ribosomal RNA", at positions 355 to 1375 of the family's 1533-position model. The record is from RNAcentral.
UGGGGAAUUUUGGACAAUGGGCGAAAGCCUGAUCCAGCAAUGCCGCGUGUGUGAAGAAGGCCUUCGGGUUGUAAAGCACUUUUGUCCGGAAAGAAAUCCUCGGCUCUAAUACAGUCGGGGGAUGACGGUACCGGAAGAAUAAGCACCGGCUAACUACGUGCCAGCAGCCGCGGUAAUACGUAGGGGUGCAAGCGUUAAUCGGAAUUACUGGGCGUAAAGCGUGCGCAGGCGGUUUGCUAAGACCGAUGUGAAAUCCCCGGGCUCAACCUGGGAACUGCAUUGGUGACUGGCAGGCUAGAGUAUGGCAGAGGGGGGUAGAAUUCCACGUGUAGCAGUGAAAUGCGUAGAGAUGUGGAGGAAUACCGAUGGCGAAGGCAGCCCCCUGGGCCAAUACUGACGCUCAUGCACGAAAGCGUGGGGAGCAAACAGGAUUAGAUACCCUGGUAGUCCACGCCCUAAACGAUGUCAACUAGUUGUUGGGGAUUCAUUUCCUUAGUAACGUAGCUAACGCGUGAAGUUGACCGCCUGGGGAGUACGGUCGCAAGAUUAAAACUCAAAGGAAUUGACGGGGUCAUAGCUGUUUCCU